Molecule: ribosomal RNA, 207 nt
Filed under: uncultured bacterium
Lineage: Bacteria
Description: partial 16S ribosomal RNA
Rfam family: Bacterial small subunit ribosomal RNA
Source: RNAcentral
CGCGUAGGCGGCCCGCCGCGUCAGGGGUGAAAGCCCCCGGCUCAACCGGGGAAGGGCCUCUGAUACGGGCGGGCUCGAGGGGGAUAGGGGCGGACGGAACUUCCGGUGGAGCGGUGAAAUGCGUUGAUAUCGGAAGGAACGCCGGUGGCGAAAGCGGUCCGCUGGGUCCCCUCUGACGCUGAGGCGCGAAAGCCAGGGGAGCAAACG